AGUGAACGCUGGCGGUAGGCCUAACACAUGCAAGUCGAACGGCAGCACAGUAAGAGCUUGCUCUUACGGGUGGCGAGUGGCGGGCGGGUGAGGAAUACAUCGGAAUCUACUUUUUCGUGGGGGAUAACGUAGGGAAACUUACGCUAAUACCGCAUACGACCUACGGGUGAAAGCAGGGGAUCUUCGGACCUUGCGCGAUUGAAUGAGCCGAUGUCGGAUUAGCUAGUUGGCGGGGUAAAGGCCCACCAAGGCGACGAUCCGUAGCUGGUCUGAGAGGAUGAUCAGCCACACUGGAACGGAGACACGGUCCAGACUCCUACGGGAGGCAGCAGUGGGGAAUAUUGGACAAUGGGCGCAAACCUGAUCCAGCCAUACCGCGUGGGUGAAGAAGGCCUUCGGAUUGUAAAGCCCUUUUGUUGGGAAAGAAAAGCAGCAGGUUAAUACCCCGCUGUUCUGACGGUACCCAAAGAAUAAGCACCGGCUAACUUCGUG
RNAcentral lists this ribosomal RNA (492 nucleotides) under uncultured bacterium. Its description in RNAcentral is "partial 16S ribosomal RNA". It matches the Rfam family "Bacterial small subunit ribosomal RNA", at positions 29 to 507 of the family's 1533-position model. The record is from RNAcentral.